AUUGAACGCUGGCGGCAGGCCUAACACAUGCAAGUCGAACGAGUGGCGGACGGGUGAGUAAUGUCUGGGAAACUGCCUGCUGGAGGGGGAUAACUACUGGAAACGGUAGCUAAUACCGCAUACCAUCGGAUGUGCCCAGAUGGGAUGAGCUAGUAGGUGGGGUAAAGGCUCACCUAGGCGACGAUCCCUAGCUGGUCUGAGAGGAUGACGGGCAACACUGGAACUGAGACACGGUCCGGAAUCCUACGUGAGGCAGCAGUGGGAAAUAUUGCACAAUGGGCGAAAGCCUGAUGCAGCCAUGCCGCGUGUAUGAAGAAGGACUUCGGGUUGUAAAGUACUUUCAGCGGGGAGGCGUUACCCGCAGAAGAAGCACCGGCUAACUCCGUGCCAGCAGCCGCGGUAAUUC
RNAcentral lists this ribosomal RNA (406 nucleotides) under uncultured bacterium. Its description in RNAcentral is "partial 16S ribosomal RNA". It matches the Rfam family "Bacterial small subunit ribosomal RNA", at positions 30 to 526 of the family's 1533-position model. The record is from RNAcentral.